This 1620-nucleotide long non-coding RNA is filed under the name Triticum aestivum (bread wheat). Its description in RNAcentral is "long non-coding RNA (TAES_LNC013322)". Lineage: Eukaryota; Viridiplantae; Streptophyta; Magnoliopsida; Poales; Poaceae. The record is from RNAcentral.
UUUAAUUGUAUUAACAGAAGUUUUGUUAAUUAACUGAAUAACGUAGCUGCAGUCUAACUCUGAUCCCAUCUUUUAGAUUUUCACCAACGUGACUCCCAUCUAUGGAUAUUUUCAUGUGUUGAUAGCAAUCGUUAUGUUAUUAUGUGCGUGUCUUGCAUCCGAGGCUAAGCUCCAAGGUCGCUUUUGCUACAAAGCUAGGUAUUUGAUUACAGUUUUUUAUCUCUAAAUAGGAGAGUAAUUUUGCUCUUUAACAGAGCAAAACACGAAUAUGUUGGACGCCUGCUGGCAAAGUUUAUUUUGCCGGGUUCUUUUCCACGGGCACUCAGUAGACACCUGCAAAGAAUAUUGUCGAUUGCAAAACACGGGGAACUCAACAAACAAAUGACACAGAUAGAAUGACAAGUUAACGGCCAUGCUACAUGGCACCAUAGUUUUGCCGUUUUCUGCACUCGGCAAAACUAUGCUCCCGUAGGGCUACCCAGAUGGCGCCAUGUGUAAUGCUUGCCGAGUACAACAUUAUGCAAAGGGGUCCUAGAUACUAGCGUUCUAGCCUAAAGAAGGUGAUUCUAAAUGUCCAUGUUGCUUGAUUGUUACCUUGAUGCUAAUAUUUGAUCUGUUUUCCAAAUUAAAAAUCCCCAUGCAGGAUGUUUAUAAAAUCUGCAUAUAACAUCACCUGCAUCGGAAAUUUCUGUAGCAUUUGAGGAUGAGAAAAUGGUGUAUAUGGUGUUGAAGGAAGCGUAGGAAGAAGCAUCUUGACAAAAGACAUGGCAAAGAUGAUGUCCAAGGGAAAAGCAGGGAAGUAAAACAUAAUUAGUUUAGAGUGGUUAAUGUGAAAGCAGUUUUAGUUUCAGCAAGAGGUGGAUUCUGAAGAUAACAACAGGUCAACAGCACAAGACUAUGAUAAGGCAUAACAUAGUUCUGAUGGGAAGGCAUAACAUAGUUGCUGGAAGAUAUAUUUGUACAAUAACAGGCACGCACAUGCAUGUGUAGUUAUACGGGAUUUAAAAAGAGUUAAUAUGAGAGAUUCAAUUCUGAUAGCUGAAAGAAAAUUACAGAACAAAUUUCUGUAAGGUAGCAGCCCAAUGAAUUGUACAAAUAUUGAUGCAUGCAGGUGAUGAUAUACACUAUCAUGUCAAACCCAGAAUCAAAUGUGUGUUGUGCAUUAAGUUUUCAGUUCUUCGUGACAUGUUUUGAUUAGUUCUGAAGCAUCCAGUUUAACAUCUUAUGUCUAAGACAUUUGGAGAAGGAUGAGAAAGAAUAUUUUGUCCUUAAUUCUAUGUUACAUCAUGGUAUCUAAGGUGAGCAAAUUUAUGGCCUCAAUUCUGGGUAACCCUCAAGGUACAUAAGGUCAAUCAUAUUAAUAGAUAUAGUUCUUUUGGCAAAAAAAUACUAUUGUCAAGACCCUUAAUAGUAUCUUUCAGACAUCCAUUCUUUGAAUAUUGAUGAAAUAUUAUAUACAACAAAAGGGUUUGCUGGAGUUGAUUUUAUUUGAGAUAUUCUAGCGCUGAUUUAAAUAUCAAUUUGAGCCUCUUAUUUGGAGAAUGCAAGGCUAGAGUACCACUUUGUUUGGGAUAGGAUAUGCUUGCUCCAUAACUUUAAUAAUUUGGAACUCAUGUUUAG